Long non-coding RNA from Brassica napus (rape), 1866 nucleotides. RefSeq lists it as uncharacterized. The record is from RefSeq and is a predicted model, not a curated record. The transcript is spliced from 5 exons. NCBI's taxonomy places the organism in Eukaryota, Viridiplantae, Streptophyta, Magnoliopsida, Brassicales, Brassicaceae.
AUCAACCAAUCAGAAGACAUUAAUUUGCCAUGUCACAACAUCUUUGUCGAGUUAUUGGACCUUCCGUGUUGUUUCCAAAAAUUAAAUCAUGGCCUGUGUAAAGCCCAGCUGCCAAAAACCUAUCUCCUAAGCAUCUAUCAAUACGACUCUUCCACUUCGUCUUCUACAUCUCCAUUUACUGUAAAAGGCGUAACAGACCCCCCUGAUCAAUCAGUGAUACUCUUCAAUCCCCCUUUUAUGGUUUCGUUCCACCUCCCCUUCAUUCUCCACCUAUAUAAAUCACUACAUCUAAACCUAAAUUCAGACAAAAUCGGAAACUUCCACAGAAAGAGAUCACGCUAUAACCAUGAACUCUGCUAAAUCAAACGGAAAGUGUGUUCAUGAAGGAGAAGAUAAAUUGAGUUAUAUUUAGUUUUGUACAACAUCAUCUUUUACAGUGCCUUGAACAAGACCUGAACCAAGAUCGCUUGAUCUCAUGGAGCCAACAUAACCAAACUGAUAAAGAAGGAAGAAGGCUGAUCAUACAGGCAUGCGCAAUUGCCUCCGGCGCCGUCGUCUUCUCUGAGUCCUCCUUAUCGACUUGGGAGGACAAGGAUUCAUCUUUAGAUUCCUGUUGUGUUGGAGUUUAUGCCUUUUGAAACUUCCUCUAAGCAUCUCUUCCACUGGGAUAUCAAGCCAAUGAAGUAGGCGAGGAGGGUGAGAGCGGAUUGCGGCAACACAGAUCGCGUUUGUUUUCUCCUUUCAAUUUGCUCUUCCUUCUCUAUUUUGUUUGUUCUCCCUUCCUUCUUUCGGUUUGGUCAAUUAUGUUGUUGUUUCUUUUGAGAUUUUCGAGUUUAUCACUAUCUUCGAAAGUGGUUGUGUUGCUAACCAUGGCGUACGUCUUUCUUCGAGUGUACAGCGAAGGCAGCAGUGGUAGGGUUUACCAGUGUGGAAUUCCAGAAAGGCCUCUCGAUUGUUAACCUUUAUAUAGAGGAUAAAGUUGCUCAUGAUUUCUGAAACAACACACACUUCUUCUUCUUAAUCCUCAAAGAUGAAUCUACCAAGUCUCCUCUCCAGGUUAAUGGACUCUAAACAGAGCACUUGAAAGUUGAUUUUUUUUGGUGUGUCAUGUGUGCAACAGCAGUUUUUAUCGUUUCACACUAGGCUUAUUAUCCUUUAGUAAAGAGCUAACUGAUAUGAAUUAGCUUACUAUAAGAAAUGUUAAUGGAAUUAACUUAACAGCAAAUUGCAUUUAAAAAACGUAGACCUUCAAACAUAUAUAUGGAUUGAACAUAGAUUCUGUAGAUAUAAAGGUUGUAGAGUUUCUUUUAAAUGCAUUUAUCAUUCAUCAUUUUAAUGUUUCUACUUAUCUUAUGGAUUAUUUGAUUGCCAAGUUCAGUAAGUAAAUUUUGUAUGACUUUCUUAAUGUUACAAACCCAUUAUCUCUAUCGAACUAACAUAAUUUUUUUUUAUCUUGAUUACCACUGCUCAGAUAUGUGAUGUUUGAUCGAUCACCAAUCACCAAUCACCAUCCUAUUCUCCAGGUGGGCGUGCUUGAUGGCCAUUAGUGAAGCUCUGUCAAGAACGACUAUAGUGGAAAAUGAAUUUUUGAAUGAGUACGAAGGUGGUGGAAAAUAUAGCAUCGGUGAUCAUGGUUAUUGCUACAGCUGUGGUGGUGGUUGAUACGCGAAAUCAUAUAUAACUAUAUAUACUUCAAAUGUAUUUAUUUUUAGUUUUAUCUAUGUUCUAAGUUUAGUUAUCUAAUUAUUUAAUUUUAUUGUGUAUAUCAUGCUUAUCUGGCAUGUUUAAUGGCUUGAAACACAGUUUUGUUUAUUUGUUAUAUUUAAUUUUUCUCAUUGAUCAUAUAUAAAAAAAUACAUAAUUUCU